RNAcentral lists this non-coding RNA (23 nucleotides) under Arabidopsis thaliana (thale cress). Lineage: Eukaryota; Viridiplantae; Streptophyta; Magnoliopsida; Brassicales; Brassicaceae. The record is from RNAcentral.
GGUGGACUUCCAUUGAUGAUUCU